This is a long non-coding RNA of Chrysemys picta bellii (western painted turtle), 246 nucleotides long. RefSeq lists it as uncharacterized. The record is from RefSeq and is a predicted model, not a curated record. Lineage: Eukaryota; Metazoa; Chordata; Testudines; Emydidae.
AAGAAUUAAAAAGAAUGAAACUUCACUUUACCCUGGGCUAAGAAUUGAGAACACGUCAGCACAUGUGGGUUUUACUAGUGACUUUGUGCAGUGCAAACACCUCAUAAAUAGGCAGAGUAUAUCGAAAUGAUGCUUAAUUCUCUUAUCGCACUUAUCGGAGAAUGCCACUGGGACACAUUGAGAUAUGGAUUGCUUGAAUGCUUUGUUUAAUGGAUCCAUGGACAAGAGACCAGAGGAGAUCUCAUC